UACGUAGGGUGCGAGCGUUAAUCGGAAUUACUGGGCGUAAAGCGUGCGCAGGCGGUUUUGUAAGUCUGACGUGAAAUCCCCGGGCUUAACCUGGGAAUUGCGUUGGAGACUGCAAGGCUGGAGUCUGGCAGAGGGGGGUAGAAUUCCACGUGUGGCAGUGAAAUGCGUAGAGAUGUGGAGGAACACCGAUGGCGAAGGCAGCCCCCUGGGUCAAGACUGACGCUCAUGCACGAAAGCGUGGGGAGCAAACAGG
Molecule: ribosomal RNA, 253 nt
Filed under: uncultured bacterium
Lineage: Bacteria
Description: partial 16S ribosomal RNA
Rfam family: Bacterial small subunit ribosomal RNA
Source: RNAcentral